UCCAGACUCCACAAUCAUUGAGUUCUUGACAGAGUGUAAACGUUACCAGUUAUUCCGGUUGACAAAGUUCUACCAGGACAGACUUGAACAGGCGAUUGAAGAAGGGGCGGAUGGUGUCAGCUCAUUAUUAACAUACAAGAAGAUUUUCAGUGGAAAAGAACAUUUAGACAUCACUGAGCUCGCAAAGAAGAGAAACCGGGCAGAUAGUUCCAAACUUCUCCUAAAGCUGGUGAUGGAAAAAGGCUCUCAGGCCUAAAGGGUGAUGUGGGAAUCCUUUGUAAAAAUGCGCCAUGGGUUACCAAAGUUGGAUAAAAUACUGAAAGAGGUGCAGCAACAUGGUUCUGAUCCAAUUCAUUAUAUGGAUAAGGUCGGAAGUUUAUCUGAAAUGCCCAAUCACCUGAAAGGUAUU
Non-coding RNA from Chiloscyllium plagiosum (whitespotted bambooshark), 409 nucleotides. The record is from RefSeq and is a predicted model, not a curated record. NCBI's taxonomy places the organism in Eukaryota, Metazoa, Chordata, Chondrichthyes, Orectolobiformes, Hemiscylliidae.